GAGGGUAUCGCUCAAUGGUAGAGCGCGUGCUUAGCAUGCAUGAGGUCCCGGGUUCAAUCCCCAGUAUCUCCA
This is a transfer RNA of Camelus ferus (Wild Bactrian camel), 72 nucleotides long. It matches the Rfam family "tRNA". From Rfam's summary of the family: Transfer RNA (tRNA) molecules are approximately 80 nucleotides in length. Their secondary structure includes four short double-helical elements and three loops (D, anti-codon, and T loops). Further hydrogen bonds mediate the characteristic L-shaped molecular structure. tRNAs have two regions of fundamental functional importance: the anti-codon, which is responsible for specific mRNA codon recognition, and the 3' end, to which the tRNAs corresponding amino acid is attached (by aminoacyl-tRNA synthetases). tRNAs cope with the degeneracy of the genetic code in two manners: having more than one tRNA (with a specific anti-codon) for a particular amino acid; and 'wobble' base-pairing, i.e. permitting non-standard base-pairing at the 3rd anti-codon position. Lineage: Eukaryota; Metazoa; Chordata; Mammalia; Artiodactyla; Camelidae. The record is from Rfam.